UGUCUAAUUGUGGUUGCUUGAGGCCUGUUUUAACAGAAUUGUUUCUUCAACAGUUCAUGUGAUGAUCAAGAAGAAGUCAGCCAAAUGACUGAGGAAAAGUUUAAUAAUGACUCCCUAGCCACACUCAAUGACAAUCAGUGGAUUGAUGAUGAGAUUUUGGAACUGGAAUUCAGGAAUAUCUAUGCUUCACUACGUCCUGCAUUACAGAGAAAAAUUUACUUCUUUCCUGUUUUGUUUAGUAACAAACUGGACAGAAGGGAGACGAGGAGACGGACGCAAGUGCAGCAAAGGUGAAUACAACGAAGCCAUAUCCUGGGUGAAAGAUGGGAGGAUCUUUAGUCGAGAAUAUCUUCGAGAAUAUGUGUCAACAUGUGAAUGGGUAAGAGCUUAUUUAUCUUCAAAAGUUUUGUCUUACAUAAUGUAUUGGACCUUUCCAACAGAGGGUCUGGGAAGAAAUGGCAGAGUUGGGUGUCAAAACCUAGUCAAAAUCUGGACUUUAAUCUGAUUAAACAGGCCAUUCAUGCUUAAAAACCCUUCAGUGUAGUUGUAGUAUAAGAGAAGGCAAAAAUUCCUCCACAGAUGUGGAAGACUUAUUGACAGUUAUUGAUACUUAAUUGCAAUUGUUGCUGCCAAGGGUGUUAAGACCAGUUAUUAGG
Long non-coding RNA from Astyanax mexicanus (Mexican tetra), 656 nucleotides. RefSeq lists it as uncharacterized. The transcript is spliced from 5 exons. Lineage: Eukaryota; Metazoa; Chordata; Actinopteri; Characiformes; Acestrorhamphidae. The record is from RefSeq and is a predicted model, not a curated record.